RNAcentral lists this long non-coding RNA (1279 nucleotides) under Monodelphis domestica (gray short-tailed opossum). Its description in RNAcentral is "lncRNA (ENSMODG00000035816.2)". The record is from RNAcentral. Lineage: Eukaryota; Metazoa; Chordata; Mammalia; Didelphimorphia; Didelphidae.
GAGAUGAGGAAACUGAGACAGAGAGGCCAUCGCGUGGCGGGCGCCCUCUGAGACCAGACUGAGGCUCUGGUCUCCCUGCGUCGGGGUCCAACGCUCUCGGCGCCACGCAAGGGAUAUUGGGAGCCAAGGAAGGGCUGGAUGCGUUCCGCAGGUGUGGAGAGGAGCGGAGAAACGCUGCCAUUGGGGUGUUUAACAUCACAUGAUUCCAGGACUUUGAAAUCAUCCUCAGUUUAACACUGGGAUGUCGAACAUGCAAUUUUCAAUGGACACCAAAGAGGAAUGCAGGCCAUAGCUGAGCCACUGGAAAAUCAGUCUGAACUGUUCUCUGGGGGGAAGGAGUCAUCCAGCUUCCAGCCAAAGCAAAGUGGACUAUCUGUCUUUGAACUUCAACCCCUGGCAAAGCAAAGCAUUAGGAAGUUCUCAAGUUGAGAAGGCCAUCCAAGCAACAUGGGCUGCCCAUACAGUAAGCAUCAGAUCUGAAGUCAGAGGGAUCCAUGCUUGCAUCUUGGCUCCAGUAUUCACCAUCUGGGCGACCCUGAGGAAGACAGAGCAGACUGAUCAGGCCAUCUUGAGCUAUGGCUUUAGACAGAAGAGAGUGAAAAGCAAGGACAGACAAACAAACACCAGGUUCAGCCUCAUGUUACUAUGCUGCGGGGAUCCAGGUACUCCUUUAACUGGUCUUUGGAAUUUUCCUGCAAAGCACACUUUCCCCCUCUUCCAAAUGGGAGGGGGAUCCCUUAUCUACCCCAUUCCCUGCUUUGGGUUUUGUCUUGUAAAGGAGUUGUCUGAGGGGGAAUAAAAUUGCCAGGAUCUGAUUGGAAACCCUCAGAACCCCACUGUUGUUCUCAAUGGGGGGGGGGACAGAGAGAGAGAGCUCCAGGGAUGAGCUCUCCAGGUUGACUAAUGGGCAGUAUGUAUCCAGAAUCUCCUAGCUCCUAAUGGUUUUUUUUCAGGGACAACCAUAGUUUAUUUGUGCACAUUUACAUUAUCAGAAUUAGCAUUAUCAAGGCUCUUAGAAGUAGUGAUUCUGUCAUAUUCAUAUAGUAAGGUUUUUUCCCAGCAAUAUCCUUCUACUUUCCAUCACCACAAUAUACAUAUAUACAGGGAAUGCUAAAAUGUGGUCAGUUACAGCACUGCAUCAAUUGUUUGUGUGUGUGUGUAUAUAUAUAUGUAUGUAUGUAUAUAGAGAUAGACAUACACUAUAGAUCCUAGCUACUAAGGAGAGUCCCCUUAGAAGUCAAGCAAAUGAUACAUUAAAGUACAAUGAUCCCCAUACUGG